Molecule: ribosomal RNA, 491 nt
Filed under: uncultured bacterium
Lineage: Bacteria
Description: partial 16S ribosomal RNA
Rfam family: Bacterial small subunit ribosomal RNA
Source: RNAcentral
GAUGAACGCUGGCGGCGUGCCUAACACAUGCAAGUCGAACGAAGAAGCGUAGCUUGCUCUGGGCUUUAGUGGCGGACGGGUGAGUAAUACGUAAGUAACUUACCUUUAACUCUGGGUUAAGUCUGGGAAACAGCGCCUAAUACCUGAUAGGACCAAUAUCGACAUGGGGUGUUGUUGGGAAACGUUGUGUUGUGGUGAUACUUGGGCCGAAGUCCUAGUAGCUUGUUGGUGAGGUAACGGCUUACCAAGGCCACGACACGUAGGCGGCGUGAGAGGGUGAUAGGCCACACUGGAACUGAGACACGGUCCAGACGCCUACGGGAGGCAGCAGUAGGGAAUAUUGGGCAAUGGGCGAAAGCAUGACGGAGCAACGCCGCGUGAGUGAUGAAGGUCUUCGGAUCGUAAAGCACUGUUAGUAGGGAGGAAGAGAUGUGAAAGUAAAUAUGCACGUUUUGACGGUACCUAAUCAGAAAGCCACGGCUAACUACGUG